Non-coding RNA from Podarcis lilfordi (Lilford's wall lizard), 75 nucleotides. Lineage: Eukaryota; Metazoa; Chordata; Lepidosauria; Squamata; Lacertidae. The record is from the annotation of a GenBank genome assembly.
GGAAGGGUCAUAGCUCUGUGGUAGAGCAUCCGUUUUGCAUGCAGAAGGUCUUGGGUUCAAUCUCUGGUAUUUCCA